CGGCAUUACCUCACUCAUUUUGCACUCAAUUCAUUUGGCUCGAUUUUCACCGCCGAUCGAGGCUGAAAGCGUUUCAGUGUUUUCUUCUUCGUGGAAUUCCUGAAAAUCGUUUUAUUCUUAAGAAUUACAGAGCUAAAAUUAAGGUUAGGGUUGGGGCUACGAUUAGGGUUGAUUUCGUCAUCGUCCAAUGGAAGCUAUGGGAGGGUGUUAGAACCCUUGCAAGAGCUCGAUCUCGUCCUCGUCAGUCCACAGCCGCUGAAACAGCUGUCGCGAGUCAUCCAGCAGCGACGGCGGCUUUUUCUCCUCGAUUAGCUCCAGGCGACACCUCCACCGUCAGAUCUGUAUCCACCACAAUGGUGUACUGCAGUCACUGUGCCAAAAUCCAUUUCCUUAGGUAUCAGUGACUGAUGAUAAUUGUCAAGUUUAUAUUCCUACAUUUUCUUGUCAACUGGGUGUAUAUAUUGAAGGAUCAGUUUCACCUCCUCUUUCUGGCGUCCAUAUCAGAGUUUUUGCUGCUGGAGAUAGCAGCAUUACUACACUUAAAAGUGGUGAAUUGGUUCUUGAAACGACCACUGGUAUUGAUGGUUCCUUUGUGGCAGGUCCUCUGUACGAUGAUAUUGGUUACAAUGUUGAGGCUUCAAAGUCUGGAUAUCAUUUAAAACAAGUUGCGCCUCAUUCUUUUACUUGUCAGAAGCUUAGUCAAAUUUCAGUACACAUACAUCACAAAGAUGAUUCUAAAGAGCCCAUUCCUUCUGUUCUGUUGUCUUUGAGUGGUGACAAUGGUUAUAGAAACAACUCAGUAUCAGGAGCUGGUAGGACAUUCCUGUUUGACAAUUUGUUUCCUGGAAUGUUUUAUUU
This is a long non-coding RNA of Glycine soja, 858 nucleotides long. RefSeq lists it as uncharacterized. NCBI's taxonomy places the organism in Eukaryota, Viridiplantae, Streptophyta, Magnoliopsida, Fabales, Fabaceae. The record is from RefSeq and is a predicted model, not a curated record. The transcript is spliced from 3 exons.